AGCUACAGGCUUAACACAUGCAAGUCGAGGGGCAGCAUGGUCUUAGCUUGCUAAGGCCGAUGGCGACCGGCGCACGGGUGAGUAACGCGUAUCCAACCUGCCUUACACUCUUGGACAGCCUUCUGAAAGGGAGAUUAAUACAAGAUGUUAUCAUGAGUAAGCAUUUUCGCAUGAUUAAAGGUUUACCGGUGUAAGAUGGGGAUGCGUUCCAUUAGAUAGUAGGCGGGGUAACGGCCCACCUAGUCUUCGAUGGAUAGGGGUUCUGAGAGGAAGGUCCCCCACAUUGGAACUGAGACACGGUCCAAACUCCUACGGGAGGCAGCAGUGAGGAAUAUUGGUCAAUGGACGAGAGUCUGAACCAGCCAAGUAGCGUGAAGGAUGAAGGUUCUAUGGAUUGUAAACUUCUUUUAUACGGGAAUAAACGAAUCCACGUGUGGAUUUUUGCAUGUACCGUAUGAAUAAGGAUCGGCUAACUCCGUGCCAGCAGCCGCGGUAAUACGGAGGAUCCGAGCGUUAUCCGGAUUUAUUGGGUUUAAAGGGAGCGUAGAUGGGUUGUUAAGUCAGUUGUGAAAGUUUGCGGCUCAACCGUAAAAUUGCAAUUGAUACUGGCAGUCUUGAGUACAGUUGAGGUAGGCGGAAUUCGUGGUGUAGCGGUGAAAUGCUUAGAUAUCACGAAGAACUCCGAUUGCGAAGGCAGCUUACUAACCUGUAACUGACAUUGAUGCUCGAAAGUGUGGGUAUCAAACAGGAUUAGAUACCCUGGUAGUCCACACGGUAAACGAUGAAUACUCGCUGUAGGCGAUAUACAGUCUGCGGCCAAGCGAAAGCAUUAAGUAUUCCACCUGGGGAGUACGCCGGCAACGGUGAAACUCAAAGGAAUUGACGGGGGCCCGCACAAGCGGAGGAACAUGUGGUUUAAUUCGAUGAUACGCGAGGAACCUUACCCGGGCUUAAAUUGCAACCGAAUAUGGCGGAAACGCUAUAGCUAGCAAUAGCGGUUGUGAAGGUGCUGCAUGGUUGUCGUCAGCUCGUGCCGUGAGGUGUCGGCUUAAGUGCCAUAACGAGCGCAACCCUUGCCGAUAGUUACUAACAGGUCAUGCUGAGGACUCUGUCGGGACUGCCAUCGUAAGAUGUGAGGAAGGUGGGGAUGACGUCAAAUCAGCACGGCCCUUACGUCCGGGGCUACACACGUGUUACAAUGGGGGGUACAGAGGGCUGCUACCACGCAAGUGGAUGCCAAUCCCAAAAACCUCUCUCAGUUCGGAUUGAAGUCUGCAACCCGACUUCAUGAAGCUGGAUUCGCUAGUAAUCGCGCAUCAGCCACGGCGCGGUGAAUACGUUCCCGGGCCUUGUACACACCGCCCGUCAAGCCAUGGGAGCCGGGGGUACCUGAAGUGCGUAACCGCAAGGAGCGCCCUAGGGUAAAACUGGUGACUGGGGCUAAGUCAUAACA
RNAcentral lists this ribosomal RNA (1453 nucleotides) under uncultured organism. RNAcentral's name for it is "SSU rRNA". It matches the Rfam family "Bacterial small subunit ribosomal RNA". The record is from RNAcentral.